AAAACUAACUGCAAACGACGAACGUUUCGCACUCGCCGCUUAAAUCCGGUGAGCCUUGCAACAGCACGCUGAUGGGCUGGGCAAGGGGGUAGCAAUACCUCCCGGCUGCAAGGGAAUUUACAUCAGCUGGCUGCGUGCUGGGCUUCUUAGUACGUGGCAAGAUCCAAGGAAGCUGGCAUCCCGGGUAGCGUGCGCCUGCGCGACUCGGGAGGCGAGACUCAAAACAGAACGCUAAACAUGUAGAUCUGCCCGGCGAAGGCUUGCGGACGCGGGUUCAAUUCCCGCCAGCUCCACCA
This 296-nucleotide transfer-messenger RNA is filed under the name Burkholderiaceae bacterium. RNAcentral describes it as "partial transfer-messenger RNA". It matches the Rfam family "transfer-messenger RNA", at positions 82 to 374 of the family's 374-position model. From Rfam's summary of the family: Bacterial tmRNA, also known as 10Sa RNA or SsrA, is named for its dual tRNA and mRNA-like properties. Its role is to liberate the mRNA from a stalled ribosome. Lineage: Bacteria; Pseudomonadati; Pseudomonadota; Betaproteobacteria; Burkholderiales; Burkholderiaceae. The record is from RNAcentral.